AGUGAACGCUGGCGGUGGGCCUAAUACAUGCAAGUCGAGCGACAGCACAGUAAGCGCUUGCUCUUACGGUUGGCGACUGGCGGACGGGUGAGGCAUACAUCGCCAUCUUCUUUUUCGUGGGGGAUUACGUAAGGCAACUGAUGCUACUACCGCAUACGUCCUACGGGUUAGAUCAAGGGAUCUUCGGACUCUUCCCGUCUCAAUUAGCCGAUGUCGGAUUAGCUAGUUGGUGAGGUAAAGUCCCACCAAGGCAACGAUCCGUAGCCGGCCUGAGAGGAUGAUCAGCCACACUGGAACUGAGACACGGUCCAGACUCCUACGGGAGGCAGCAGUAGGGAAUAUUCGACAAUGGGCGCAAGCCUGACGCAGCAAUGCCGCGUGGGUGAUGAAGGUCUUCGGGUUGUAAAGCUCUUUUAUUGGGAAAGAAAAGCUGCGGGAGAAUACCCCGCUGUUCUGACGGUACCUAAUGAAUAAGCACCGGCUAACUUCGUG
This 492-nucleotide ribosomal RNA is filed under the name uncultured bacterium. RNAcentral's name for it is "partial 16S ribosomal RNA". It matches the Rfam family "Bacterial small subunit ribosomal RNA", at positions 29 to 507 of the family's 1533-position model. The record is from RNAcentral.